This 615-nucleotide small RNA is filed under the name Pan troglodytes (chimpanzee). RNAcentral describes it as "retained intron". Lineage: Eukaryota; Metazoa; Chordata; Mammalia; Primates; Hominidae. The record is from RNAcentral.
AAGAAGAGGAGCAGGACCAGAAGGAAGUGGAAGCGGAACUCUGUCGCCCCAUGUUGGUGUGUCCCCUGGAGGGGCCUGAGGGCGUACGGGGCAGGGAAUGCUUUCUCAGGGUCACUUCUGCCCACCUGUUUGAGGUGGAACUCCAAGCAGCUCGCACCCUGGAGCGACUGGAGCUCCAGAGUCUGGAGGCAGCUGAGAUAGAGCCGGAGGCCCAGGCCCAGAGGUCGCCCAGGCCCACGGGCUCAGAUCUGCUCCCUGGAGCCCCCAUCCUCAGUCUGCGCUUCUCCUACAUCUGCCCUGACCGGCAGUUGCGUCGCUAUUUGGUGCUGGAGCCUGAUGCCCACGCAGCUGUCCAGGUGAUGGCGCCCAGAGUGGGGGCCCAGGAGGCUGUGGGGAUUAAGAGAGCCAGAGGGGAGUGGCAGCAGGCCUGAGGGCCAGGGGCCUGUGGGAGGUGUCCGUCUGGGGUCCGCCUGCUCACAGCUGCCUCUGAUCCACCCUCUGUCAGGAGCUGCUUGCCGUGUUGACCCCAGUCACCAAUGUGGCUCGGGAACAGCUUGGGGAGGCCAGGGACCUCCUGCUGGGUAGAUUCCAGUGUCUACGCUGUGGCCAUGAGUU